Ceratotherium simum simum (southern white rhinoceros) is the source of this 94-nucleotide non-coding RNA. The record is from RefSeq and is a predicted model, not a curated record. NCBI's taxonomy places the organism in Eukaryota, Metazoa, Chordata, Mammalia, Perissodactyla, Rhinocerotidae.
AAUAAUGUCCAAGAAUUUUCCAAAAUUAGUGACAGACACCAAUCUACAGGUCCAAGGAGCUCAGAGAACAUCAAACAGGAUAACUUCCAUUUUC